This 301-nucleotide ribosomal RNA is filed under the name uncultured bacterium. RNAcentral describes it as "partial 16S ribosomal RNA". It matches the Rfam family "Bacterial small subunit ribosomal RNA", at positions 509 to 807 of the family's 1533-position model. The record is from RNAcentral.
CAGCCGCCGCGGGAAUACGAAGGUGGCAAGCGUUGUCCGGAAUUAUUGGGCGUAAAGGGCUCGCAGGCGGUUUCUUAAGUCUGAUGUGAAAGCCCCCGGCUCAACCUGGGAAUGGCAAUGGAUACUGGCAAGCUAGAGUGUGUCAGAGGAUGGUGGAAUUCCCGGUGUAGCGGUGAAAUGCGUAGAGAUCGGGAGGAACACCAGUGGCGAAGGCGACUCUCUGGUCUGUAACUGACGCUGAGGAGCGAAAGCGUGGGGAGCGAACAGGAUUAGAUACCCCGGUAGUCCCUGUCUCUUAUAC